Brachypodium distachyon (stiff brome) is the source of this 125-nucleotide non-coding RNA. Lineage: Eukaryota; Viridiplantae; Streptophyta; Magnoliopsida; Poales; Poaceae. The record is from Rfam.
AAAGUACUCCCUCCGUCUCAUAUUAAGUGACUCAAAUUUGCCCAAAUAUGAAUGUAUCUAUACCUAAAAAACGUCUAGAUAUAUGUAACAGAAAGUCACUUAAUAUAAGACGGAGGAAGUAAAAU